UUUAUUGAAUCUCUUAUAAAUGCUUUUAUAUUAAUAAUGUUGGUUUUCCAACUAUGACGAUAAACGAAUUUCGUAAUAACCAUUGCGGACGUGGGGGCAGUACCCACCACCUCCACCAUACAACUUAUGGGGGUGAACUAGAUUCGACGGGUGACUAAAGGCUAUUCUUUUGUUCGGGAUUGUUCCACCGUGACGGGCUAAUUUAUAAUUGCUAACGAAAGUUACGCACUUGCUGCCUAAUUAACUUUGUUAAUUAAGUAGACGGGGCUUGGGGCACCUGGCAACAGAACGCCCCUUCA
This 299-nucleotide transfer-messenger RNA is filed under the name Candidatus Pelagibacter sp. It matches the Rfam family "Alphaproteobacteria transfer-messenger RNA". From Rfam's summary of the family: Bacterial tmRNA, also known as 10Sa RNA or SsrA, is named for its dual tRNA and mRNA-like properties. Its role is to liberate the mRNA from a stalled ribosome. The record is from RNAcentral. Lineage: Bacteria; Pseudomonadati; Pseudomonadota; Alphaproteobacteria; Candidatus Pelagibacterales; Candidatus Pelagibacteraceae.